UCGAGGUGGCGGUGGUGGUAGUUCAUCGAGGUCGGAGAUCGUCGGUGGGACGUUGGAUCGAAAACGAAUUAAUGAUGCGUUGGAUAAGCACUUGGAAAAAUCUGCACCUUCCACAUCUAGAGCCUUGAAGGACAAGGCGGUUCCGUCUACCUCCGUAGGUGCCGGAAAAUUGCAUCAGCAACAUGUUGAUCAUCGAGACACCCGCUCUUCUUCUAGUCUUGCUACGAAGAAUAAAUGCUCAGAUGAUGAAUCUGAAACAGACAGUGAAGAGUCUGAUGUUAG
RNAcentral lists this unclassified non-coding RNA (282 nucleotides) under Hevea brasiliensis (rubber tree). The record is from RNAcentral. Lineage: Eukaryota; Viridiplantae; Streptophyta; Magnoliopsida; Malpighiales; Euphorbiaceae.